AUACGUAGGGGGCAAGCGUUGUCCGGAAUUACUGGGCGUAAAGAGCUCGUAGGCGGCUCAGCAAGUCGGUCGUGAAAGCCCGAGGCUCAACCUCGGAACUGCGGUCGAUACUGCUGUGGCUAGAGUCCGGUAGAGGAGAGUGGAAUUCCCGGUGUAGCGGUGGAAUGCGCAGAUAUCGGGAGGAACACCAGUGGCGAAGGCGGCUCUCUGGGCCGGUACUGACGCUGAGGAGCGAAAGCGUGGGGAGCAAGCAGGAUUAGAAACCCUUGUAGUCC
Molecule: ribosomal RNA, 275 nt
Filed under: uncultured bacterium
Lineage: Bacteria
Description: partial 16S ribosomal RNA
Rfam family: Bacterial small subunit ribosomal RNA
Source: RNAcentral